CUACGGGAGGCAGCAGUCGAGGAUCUUCGGCAAUGGGCGAAAGCCUGACCGAGCGACGCCGCGUGGAUGAUGAAGGCCUUCGGGUUGUAAAAUCCUGUCGAGGGGGAUCAAAGGCAACUUGAGUGAUCCCUGGAGGAAGCACGGGCUAAGUUCGUGCCAGCAGCCGCGGUAAGACGAACCGUGCAAACGUUAUUCGGAAUCACUGGGCAUAAAGGGCGCGUAGGCGGCUUUCUAAGUCAGGGGUGAAAUCCGGCAGCUCAACUGUCGCAGUGCCUUUGAUACUGGAGAGCUCGAGGGAGGUAGGGGUCUGUGGAACUUCCGGUGGAGCGGUGAAAUGCGUUGAUAUCGGAAGGAACGCCGGUGGCGAAAGCGACGGACUGGAUCUCUUCUGACGCUGAGGCGCGAAAGCCAGGGGAGCAAACGGGAUUAGAAACCCCAGUAGUCC
Molecule: ribosomal RNA, 445 nt
Filed under: uncultured bacterium
Lineage: Bacteria
Description: bacterial SSU rRNA
Rfam family: Bacterial small subunit ribosomal RNA
Source: RNAcentral